RNAcentral lists this unclassified non-coding RNA (339 nucleotides) under uncultured fungus. Its description in RNAcentral is "partial contains small subunit ribosomal RNA, internal transcribed spacer 1, and 5.8S ribosomal RNA". The stretch from base 1 to 73 matches the Rfam family "Eukaryotic small subunit ribosomal RNA", at positions 1759 to 1831 of the family's 1831-position model. The record is from RNAcentral. Lineage: Eukaryota; Fungi.
ACAAACUUGGUCAUUUAGAGGAAGUAAAAGUCGUAACAAGGUUUCCGUAGGUGAACCUGCGGAAGGAUCAUUACAGCGCCUCGUCGGGGCUGCCGCGUACCCGCGCGGGAGCCCCGCACCGGCCACCCGUGUUUACCGAACCUCUGUUGCCUCGGCGGGCCCGCCUUGUCCCCCGGGACUGGCCGCCGGGGGCGUCAAGGCGCCCCGGGCCCGCGCCCGCCGCAGGACCGUCUCAGAACCCUCUGAAGCAAAUGAGUCUCAGUCUGAGCGUUGCGACGAAAUCUAGUUAAAACUUUCAACAACGGAUCUCUUGGUUCCGGCAUCGAUGAAGAACGCAGC